GGCCUGGUUGGACGGUCUGCUCUAGGGUUUGUACUGUCCUGACUGGGUCUUACCUUCUGGUGAGCUGUCGUAUUGUUUACUCAGUGCGGCAGGGAACCAGGACUUUUACUUUGAAAAAAUUAGAGUGUUUAAAGCAGGCUUUCGCUUGAAUACAUUAGCAUGGAAUAAUAGAAUAGGACUUUGGUUCUAUUUUGUUGGUUUCUAGGACCGAAGUA
Molecule: ribosomal RNA, 215 nt
Filed under: uncultured fungus
Lineage: Eukaryota; Fungi
Description: partial small subunit ribosomal RNA
Rfam family: Eukaryotic small subunit ribosomal RNA (bases 48-215)
Source: RNAcentral